This 486-nucleotide ribosomal RNA is filed under the name uncultured bacterium. RNAcentral describes it as "partial 16S ribosomal RNA". It matches the Rfam family "Bacterial small subunit ribosomal RNA", at positions 30 to 507 of the family's 1533-position model. The record is from RNAcentral.
AUUGAACGCUGGCGGCAUGCCUUACACAUGCAAGUCGAACGGCAGCACGGGUGCUUGCACCUGGUGGCGAGUGGCGAACGGGUGAGUAAUAUAUCGGAACAUGUCCUGUAGUGGGGGAUAGCCCGGCGAAAGCCGGAUUAAUACCGCAUACGAUCCACGGAUGAAAGCGGGGGACCUUCGGGCCUCGCGCUAUAGGGUUGGCCGAUGGCUGAUUAGCUAGUUGGUGGGGUAAAGGCCUACCAAGGCGACGAUCAGUAGCUGGUCUGAGAGGACGACCAGCCACACUGGGACUGAGACACGGCCCAGACUCCUACGGGAGGCAGCAGUGGGGAAUUUUGGACAAUGGGCGAAAGCCUGAUCCAGCAAUGCCGCGUGUUUGAAGAAGGCCUUCGGGUUGUAAAGCACUUUUGUCCGGAAAGAAAUCCUUGACUCUAAUACAGUCGGGGGAUGACGGUACCGGAAGAAUAAGCACCGGCUAACUACGUG